This 253-nucleotide ribosomal RNA is filed under the name uncultured bacterium. RNAcentral's name for it is "partial 16S ribosomal RNA". It matches the Rfam family "Bacterial small subunit ribosomal RNA", at positions 524 to 776 of the family's 1533-position model. The record is from RNAcentral.
GACAGAGGCCCCGAGCGUUAGGCGGAAUCACUGGGCUUAAAGCGUGUGUAGGCGGAUCGUUAAGUGCCUUGUGAAAUCCCAUGGCUUAACCAUGGAACUGCUUGGCAUACUGGCGAUCUUGAACCACUUAGGGGCAACCGGAACAAAUGGUGGAGCGGUGAAAUGCGUAGAUAUCAUUUGGAACGCCAAGGGUGAAAACAGGUUGCUGGGAGUGUGCUGACGCUGAGACACGAAAGCCAGGGGAGCGAACGGG